UUUCUAAUUACUCUAAAUUUUUUGUUUGCUUAUUUUGACCAACGGGCAAAUGUUUCUAUGGAUUUAGAGUCAUUUCAUCUAUUCAUUGAAUGAGUGAUCAAAAUGUUUUUACUCAGAUAACCCUUGGGCUUAGCUUGGGGACUUUAUUCAAUCAUCGUGGUUCUAGUAUGAAUCUUAGAUUUCAUUUGAAUCAUAGUGUCUCAACAAGCGAGUUCCUAGCAAUUAGAAAUAAAAACAAAAUCCACAUUAUACAAAAAAUUAUAAUUUUGAGAUCGAGAAAAUUCAAGAAGCCCAUAAUGAUUAACAUAAAAAUGAAGAAAUGAGCCGACUUGAUAUUUUGGCAUUCAUCAUCAUCAUCAUCAUCAUCAUCAUCAAAGCCCAUUUCCGAGAUUUUUGGGGUCGGCAUUGUCAAUUCUAAAUAAGAGCUUCGGUUUUAUUUUGCACUUCGUCGUAUUUUCAGAGAAGGUUGGAUGGAAUACUAAGAAGAAGUUUCAAAUUUCCUAUUACAUAUCCGUUGCAACCAGUAUUGGGGUGUUUUUGCUUGAGUUGUACGAGAUGAAAGUCUCAUAUAUGGUUCUCAGAGGGAAGAGUUCCCUUGGUUUACCUAUCUCAAUAAAGUAUAUGAUUGGUUCGAAGAGCGUCUCGAAAUUCAGGCGAUUGCAGAUGAUAUAACUAGUAAAUAUGUUCCUCCACAUGUCAACAUAUUUUAUUGUCUAGGAGGAAUUACGCUUACUUGUUUUUUAGUACAAGUAGCUACGGGGUUUUCCAUGACUUUUUACUAUCGUCCAACCAUUACCGAGGCUUUUACCUCGGUUCAAUACAUAAUGACUGAAGCUAACUUUGGUUGGUUAUUCUGAUCAGUUCAUUGAUGGUCAGUAGGUGAGUCAGAGCCUAAGAUUAGGCCGAAAGGCGUAGUCGAUGGACAACAGGUGAAUAUUCCUGUACUACCCCUUGUUGGUCCCAAGGGACGAAGGAGGCUAGGUUAGCCAAAAAAUGGUUAUCAGUUCAGGGACGCAAGGUGACCCUGCUUUUUCAGGAUAAGAAAGGGUUGAGAAAAUGCCUCGAGCCAAUGUUCGAGUACCAGGCGCUAUGGCGCUGAAGUAACCUGUGAUAACCCGAUCCGCACAGUAAGAUAUUGUCCACUCUAUGGCGCUGAAGUAACCUAUUACUAUGAUGAUCCAACCUCGCACAUAAGUAGCACAUCCCCCUCCUGCACCCAGGCGAUGUGGGACUGUCUCCCUUUGUAGCUCGUCCAACCCCUUUUGAGCCUGUUAGGCCUAUUGGGCUCCAACCCUAACCCUGAAGUCCGCCCACUCCAGGGUCUCACAAUCCACCCCCCUUAGAGCCCAACAUCCACGUUGGCACACUUCCAGCUGAGUUAGGCUCUGAUACCAUUCUAUAACGAUCUGAUCCACACAGUAAGAAAUUGUCUGCUUUGGACCCAAUCGGCCCGCACGGCUUUAAAACGCAUCUUACUAUAUGGAUACAACCUCGUACAUAAGUAACACAUCCCCCUCUCGCACCCAGGCGAUGUGGGACUACGCCCCCCUUUGUAGCUCGUCCAACCCCUCUUGGGCCUCUUCGGCUCCAGCCCUCACCCUCACCCUCACCCUCAGGUCCGCCCAUUCUAGGGUCUCGCAUAACCCAUGCCAUACUCCAAGGAAAAGCUAGAACGACCUUCAAUAAAGGGGUACUUAUACCCGAAACAGACACAAACGGGUAGGUAGAAAAUACCUAAGGGCGCGAGACAACUUUCUCUAAGGAACUCAGCAAAAUAGCCCCGGGCGAAUGUUUACCAAAACCACAGGUUUCCGCAAAGUCAUAAGACCGUGUAUGGGGGUUGAUGCCUGCCCAAUGCCGGAAGGUCAAGGAAGUUGGUGACUUGAUGACAGGAGAGCCGAUGACAGAAGCCCCAGUGAAUGAUGACCGUAAUUAUAACGGUCCUAAGGUAGUGAAAUUCCUUUUCGGGUAAGUUUCGACGUACACGAAAGGCGUAAGGAUCUGUGCACUGUCUUGGAAAGAGGCACGGUGAAAUAGACAUGUUUGUGAAAAUGCAGACUACCUGCACCUGGACAGAAAAACCCUAUGAAGCUUUACUAUUCCCUGAGAUCGGCUUUGGGCCUUUCCUGCACAACUUAUGUGGGGGCGAAGAAGGCCCCCUUUCGAGGGGGGGGGGAGGGGAGGCGAGCCAUCAGUGAGAUACCACUCUGGAAGAGCUAGAAUUCUAACCUCGUGUCAGGACCUACGGGCCAAGGGACAUUUUCACUUAGAUAGUUUUUAUGGGGCGUAGGCCUCCCAAAAGGUAGCGGAGGCAUGCAAAGGUUUCCUCGGGGCAGACGAAGAUUGGCCCUCGAGUGCAAUGGCAGAAGAAAGCUUGAUUGCAAAACCCACCCGUCGAGUAAAGAUGAAAGCCAGCCUUAGUGAUCCGAUGGUGUAGAGUGGAAGGGUCAUCGCUCAACGGAUAAAAGUUACUCUAGGGAUAACAGGUUGAUAUUCCCAAAGAGUUCACAUCGACGAGAAGGUUUGGCACCUCAAUGUCGGCUCUUCGCCACCUGGGGCUGUAGUAUGUUCCCAGGGUUGGGUUGUUCGCCCAUUAAAGCGGUACGUGAGCUGGGUUCAGAACGUCGUGAGAUAGUUCGAUCCAUAUCUGGUGUGGGCGUUAGAUCAUUGAUAUGACCUUUUCCUAGUACGAGAGGAUCGGGAAGGACGCACCUCUGGUGUACUGUUAUCGUGCCCACGGUAAACGCUGGGUAGCCAAGUGCGGAGCGGAUAACUGCUGAAAGCAUAUAAGUUGUAAGCCUGCCCCAAGAUGAGUGCUUUCCUAUUCUGACUUCCCCAGAGCCUCCGCUAGCACAGUCGGGACAACGACGGGUUCUCUGCCCCUGCGAGGAUGGAGCGACAUGAGUUUUGAGAAUCCAAGAGAAGGUCACGACGAGAUGAGCCGUUUAUUAUUACGAUAGGUGUCAAAUGGAAGUGCAAUGAUGUAUGUAACUGAGGCAUGCUAACAGACCGCCAGACUUGAAC
This 3024-nucleotide ribosomal RNA is filed under the name Berberis thunbergii. RNAcentral's name for it is "bacterial LSU rRNA". The stretch from base 744 to 3024 matches the Rfam family "Bacterial large subunit ribosomal RNA". Lineage: Eukaryota; Viridiplantae; Streptophyta; Magnoliopsida; Ranunculales; Berberidaceae. The record is from RNAcentral.